CCUACGGGUGGCAGCAGUGAGGAAUAUUGGUCAAUGGGCGUAAGCCUGAACCAGCCAAGUCGCGUGAGGGAUGAAGGUUCUAUGGAUCGUCAACCUCUUUUAUAAGGGAAUAAAGUGUGGGACGUGUCCUAUUUUGUCUGUACAUUAUGAAUAAGGAUCGGCUAACUCCGUGCCAGCAGCCGCGGUAAUACGGAGGAUCCGAGCGUUAUCCGGAUUUAUUGGGUUUAAAGGGUGCGUAGAUGGACUGUUAAGUCAGCUGUGAAAGUUUGUGGCUCAACCGUAGUAUUGAGGUUGAUACUGGGGGGCAUGAGUAUAUUUGAGGCAGGCGGAAUACGUGGUGUAGCGGUGAAAUGCGUAGAUAUGAAGCAGAACACC
This 375-nucleotide ribosomal RNA is filed under the name uncultured bacterium. Its description in RNAcentral is "partial 16S ribosomal RNA". It matches the Rfam family "Bacterial small subunit ribosomal RNA", at positions 338 to 710 of the family's 1533-position model. The record is from RNAcentral.